This is a long non-coding RNA of Alligator mississippiensis (American alligator), 2058 nucleotides long. RefSeq lists it as uncharacterized. The transcript is spliced from 4 exons. NCBI's taxonomy places the organism in Eukaryota, Metazoa, Chordata, Crocodylia, Alligatoridae. The record is from RefSeq and is a predicted model, not a curated record.
UAUCCCAUUCUGUCCCAUUUCUUGAUCUCCAUUACCUCCAUUGUCAUUCCCCACUUCAUGUCAGCCAAUUCACAGUAUAAACAAGCUUGAAUCUAUCCCAUCUUAUAAACAAAUAAAACACAUGGCAUUACUUAUGGCUGCUUGUUCAAUUUCUGCCCCUUCUCCCUUUCAUUUAAAAGCUCACCAAUAGUGCUGCCCACAGCUGCUGUGUAGCAUGUCAUCAUAGUCCCCCCAACACCACCAACCUUCAAUCUGGAUUUUGCUUCCUAUAGUCCACUGAAACAGCCUUUGGCCAGAAAACCCAGGCAAGACAUGGAAGCAAUAGUGGUAACUUCCCUGGAAAAUGAAGGGAAGGAAAUAACAUAAAAGAGUUAUCACAGUUGCAAAUGUGAAAUACCCAUAAAAUAUAGGUGUGCAAAGGCCGUGGUAGCCAAAAAAACUUCUCCCUCAACACAGCAUUGACAGUCUGAGCCUGCAAGUUGCUGGGCACUUUCAUUUCCAACUGAAGUCACUGGGUAUUGAGCACCACAUGAGACCAAGUCCAGAAAGAGUUGCUGAAGGACAAACAAUCUUUUGAGGAGACCAGGAAGAUGCUUUAGGUCAGCAAGAAUUGAGCUUCAUGCCUGGCUGUCUCAUCAUGGGCCAUGACAGAGAAAGACGUGUGCCCACAUUGCAGCCAGAGGGAGAAGGACAGCAGGGAGAAGCAGUGUUGGAGUGGACAGUUUCCAGUUGUCCAGCCCCAGUGCAUCUCCCCGCAGGCUGGAAGUUGUGCCCAUACCAGCACAGGUGUGGAGAAAGCCUCCCUGCCACUGAUACACUGCCAAAGCCACUCGGCCUACAUUGGAUCAGAGCUGGGUUGUUCAGGCCCAUGUCUGAUAAAGGUUACCAAACCCUGGUCUAUGCCAGUAAUUUUUAAUCACAGCAGCCUGGGGUUCCUUGAGAUCCUUUCAAGGAUGCUGAAGAUGCCACACAAUGUUAGCACAGCUAGGUCAGCAAAUAUGCUUCACAAGAUAAUCCCAGAGGGCGCUUAUACACUCGCAGAGAGGCUGCUCCAAUGCACUGUAAUUAUAGUGCAUCAGAGCAGACUUGAUUAAUCGAGCAUGGGGAUGCUGAUACACAUGACGCUUCGGGUACUUUUUUAAUUAGAUCUCUUGGAGCCGCUCUAAUUAAAACACUCAGAGAUUUCACAUAGGAAUUCACAGUGUUAAAAACAUUCUGACCUGUUAUGGUCUUUCUGAGUUCUUUGCAAAAAAGAAUUGUUCUGUUGUUUUUCUGUGGUCAAAAAAAGUGUGAAAACCAAAAACUGGCAUUUUCCUUGCAGUUCCUUGAGUCUAGAAAGUUUAAGACCCACUGUACCCAACAUAAUGCUUCCCAAAUCUGGGCUGUCGCAUCUUUUAGGCAGAGAUGAUCCUGCCCUGAGCAGGUGCCUGGACUAGAUAAACCCCUGAGCUUCCUCCUGGCACUGUUUUUCUCGAAUUCUAUUCUGAGUGCUGUUAUAGUAUAGAGUUAGUGAAGUGUAACGAAGCAAGACUAGCUGCUUCCACCAUGCAUGGUCACCUCUAGCUGUCCACAGCAAAGGUUUAGUAUUUGGUGGAGUAUUGUGAUAAUGAGUUUGCAUUGACUUCCAAGCUACUAUGUGAACGUGUAACAAACUCAAAACUCAAGUCAGGCUGACUAUGGUCCUCAAAUUUAUUUGCUGAACUGUUCUGUCUUUGAAAUGAUGCAAAAAUCUUUGUUAUGCAACAUAGGGCAUGUAAAACUGCUUAUAUGAAUCCAACACAGAGCAAAUCAGGUGUAGUUCACAGAGACCUCCUUGUGGAAUGAUUGUCAGUGAGUCAUUUCUGUUUCACAGGCUGGCUGACCAUCCCAGCUUUCUGAUUAUCUGAGCCAUGUAACCUUAGUUGAACAUGAUGCAGCCUUAAGUCUCAUCUCAUUGCCAAGCCAUCACCAUGUAGAUGAACUGCUUUCCUUAUGGACCAGCUCUCCUGCACUUUAUUUUGUUCAAGGAAUGGAAAAUAGUUCAAACCCACCUGCCCUCUUCCAGUCAGCAGUCCAGAU